This is a long non-coding RNA of Denticeps clupeoides (denticle herring), 545 nucleotides long. The record is from Ensembl. NCBI's taxonomy places the organism in Eukaryota, Metazoa, Chordata, Actinopteri, Clupeiformes, Denticipitidae.
UGUCGAGAUGUUGAUGUGAAUUUGUCUGUGUUUAGACAUCCUGAAUAAGCUUUGCUGUCAAUGUGGGUUUGUGGAAACAGAUGACCUACAAUGGAUUGCCUGCAAUAGUUGCAACAAGUGGUUCCAUCAGGGAUGCGUCAACUCUCCAGCAGUGGACAAAGAAUAGGAAUGUGUUGUGUGCAUUGUCUAAAGUGUUUUCAUUAUUUUAUUUUUAUUUCAUUGUGUUGAAAUGCCCUUUUUUAUACUUUUAUUUAUAUUUUUUGCUGUAUGUUCAAUUGAUCUUUUUAAAACUGUACAUAGUUCCAUGUUGACUUUUUAUUAAAUUAUUUGAAUUAAAUUGCUUUUGCCUAAUUAAUUACUGUAGCAUAAAUUGUUUUACUUAUUAUAUGUAUGUGCGAAUUAUAUUUGACCCAUAUUACAUGUUUGAUUUAAAUAUUAAAAUGUAAUAGAUCUGACAAUUUUUUUCAAAACACAUAACUUUAUCUGGCAUAAAAUAUUUGUAUGUGUUUUAUUUGAAACUGCAAUAAAUUGUCCUUCCACUGUUA